Molecule: ribosomal RNA, 202 nt
Filed under: uncultured bacterium
Lineage: Bacteria
Description: partial 16S ribosomal RNA
Rfam family: Bacterial small subunit ribosomal RNA
Source: RNAcentral
CAGUUCGGAUUGUAGGCUGCAACUCGCCUACAUGAAGUCGGAGUUGCUAGUAAUCGCGGAUCAGAAUGCCGCGGUGAAUGCGUUCCCGGGUCUUGUACACACCGCCCGUCACACCAUGGAAGUUGGGGGCGCCCGAAGUUGGUCGGGAAAUAGAUUACCUAAGGCGAAACCAAUGACUGGGGUGAAGUCGUAACAAGGUAAC